Molecule: ribosomal RNA, 253 nt
Filed under: uncultured bacterium
Lineage: Bacteria
Description: partial 16S ribosomal RNA
Rfam family: Bacterial small subunit ribosomal RNA
Source: RNAcentral
UACGUAGGGUGCGAGCGUUGUCCGGAAUUAUUGGGCGUAAAGGGCUCGUAGGCGGUUUGUCGCGUCGGGAGUGAAAAUCCAGGGCUUAACUCUGGACUGGCUUCCGAUACGGGCAGACUAGAGGUAUGCAGGGGAGAACGGAAUUCCUGGUGUAGCGGUGAAAUGCGCAGAUAUCAGGAGGAACACCGGUGGCGAAGGCGGUUCUCUGGGCAUUACCUGACGCUGAGGAGCGAAAGUGUGGGAAGCGAACAGG